CGGAUUUUUAAUAAACUUGUAUAGGCUUUUAUUAUAAACUUCCUUACUUUUGUAUGAACUUUUGUUAUAGAUUCAAAUAUAUUUGCAUAGACUUCCCAAUACUAUUUUCUUUUAUCACUCUUUCUUCCCAACACUAUUUUCUUUAAACUAUCUUGACCUAGCCAUUAGUCAACCAUCCUUUUUUUUUCUUUUUCUUUUUUCCCAAAUUAUUCCUCUACUUGUGUGCACAACAAUGAAUUUCCCUUUGAAAUUUCCACGAGUUGGAAACUUUAUUCAAACCUAAACAAUGAAUUUCAUACGUAAACAAUGAUCCCUUUGAAAUUUCUACGAGUUGGAAACUUUCAUACCUAA
RNAcentral lists this long non-coding RNA (351 nucleotides) under Prunus persica (peach). RNAcentral's name for it is "long non-coding RNA (PPER_LNC005674)". The record is from RNAcentral. Lineage: Eukaryota; Viridiplantae; Streptophyta; Magnoliopsida; Rosales; Rosaceae.